This is a ribosomal RNA of Pteropus vampyrus (large flying fox), 120 nucleotides long. The record is from Ensembl. NCBI's taxonomy places the organism in Eukaryota, Metazoa, Chordata, Mammalia, Chiroptera, Pteropodidae.
GUCUACAGCCAUGCCACCCUGAAUGUGCCUGAUCUCAUCUGAUUUCAGAAGCUAAUCAGGGUCAGGCCUUGAUUAGUACUUACAUGGGAGACCACCUAGGAAUACCAGGUGCUGUAGACA